CCUAAUGUAUGAAACUGUUCCUCUAUUUAUACUACCAGUGCACUGUGGAGAAACCGGCCAGAUUAAUUCAGCUUAAGUGCUCAAGUCUCGGCUUAGAGGCAACGACACACUUAAAUUGGAAUAAACUGUCAGACCGUCAGAUCUAAUCCGAUAAAACCACUCAUAAAGGAUCGAGUACCACUUACUCGAAGGUGAGACACAAAGAAAUACAAUAAAACACAAUACCAUAAUUUAAGAAGUACUUAAGGGUUGUUACAUCAUCAGAGUUUUGAAAUGUGUAAAUCAUAGUUUUUAAUGGAGCGAAAAUAACUAACGGAGAUAACCGAGUAACAUGGCGAAGCCUGGCCACGCUACUCCUCAUGUUCCUAUCCUGCGAAGGUAGCAUCCCACUCAACCAUCGAACCCGGUGGUAGGGUGGGAGGCUAAGUCACACCAGCAACCAUUUCAUCCAAGGAAGUACCUGUGAAAAUUAUGCCACUAGAAAGGCUAAGUAUACUAAUACUCAGCUAGACUUACCCGGUGUGAGAAGUCUACUUAUCUAUCUCUAGAUUAUGAAGCUGUUUGGCUGAGGGGUUUGGUUUGCCAAAAGCACUAGCUGAUUCUAAAACAAGUUUUAGCUUUUCAAAUUCUAUAUAUUAUUCCUUAAACUAGGUUAGCAUCCUUUUAAGCACACAUGGUUACAAGCAUUUAGUGCAAGCAACACUUUAUAUAAUGAAACAUCAUUACACUUCUUACUCGAUGCAGCAGCAUGGUUGCAUGGAUCAAGCAGUCUCUUUAGCUGCGAGAAGCAGACGAUUCGAAUCGAGUUUUAACCUGCAAGGUAAACCUAAACACAUGACAUGUAGGGGCACUCUGUCCUCACACACAUCACCCAUCCCCAUCGAUUACCCGUCAACAGAACAGAGCCCACUGCCUUGGCAUACAAUGCUCCACUGACCCUGGAUGCCGCUGUAUAGUCACCACACUUGUACCCAUCAUCGCUAGCAUGGUAGAUUCCAUCUCAGGACUAGUGAGAAGUAAAGUCUACGGGUAGGUUCACUCAAGUACUAGGUUUACCUAUUUACCUUAUUUCUUGGCACGUGCUAAGUAUGUUCAAACGUUAGACACGUGGUACAUGGUGAAGUGACACUAGGUUACUUAGCAAAGUGAGGGUUCAUACUCAUUAUAAUAAGCCUUUAUAGGAAUUUGCAUUUAGGGGCCCAUAAUAAGAUUUGAUCAAGGAAAAGAGUGGAUUAAGACUUACAUUAUUUUCAUAAAAACAUAGUUAAGGCUUAGAUGGGUUUUGCUGAAAUCAUUUUAAUUAAUAUUAGUUAACCUUGAAUCCUCUUUCCUUUUUCUAUUAAGCUUUUAGAGGGUGCUUUUGGACUACAACCUUGUAUUAGAAAAUUAUAAACUUCUAUAAAAAUUACAGUAACUUCCUACUGGUUAAAAUAUGUUGCCCUAGGAAUUUGGGGUCAAAAGUAGUUAGGAAUUGUUCUGGACAAAAACAACAAAACUAGGGCAGAGAGGGCACAUUACACUACACCUCCUAUCUAGAAGUGGCUACUGCCCUAAUGGGUAUUUUUCCUGGUAUCUAAGUGCAAUAAUAUAGUCUUGUGCCAAAUUUCAUUAAGUGGUACUUAGUGGUCUUUUUAUCUAGGGGUUUCAAAGUUUUAGGGCCAAAGAAGCACUUAUAACUAGCUUGCCCUUUGAAAAAAUGGCAAACAACAGAUUUAGAAAUUUUACUAAGUUUCCUUUUGCACAAGAGCAAUCAUUCCCAAAGUUGGGGUUGAUUUACCUCUUGAUUCUUUUUCUAUGAUUUCCUAAAGCUUUCUCUAUUUCACUCAAUUAAUUAGUGCUUCUAUACUUCUUCACCGGGCCAGUGCCUAACAUAUUUUUCUCUGGUGCUACAUCCUUUAUUUAGCGUAGGAAAAAUAAGAAGUUCUCAGGUUUCAUCUACUGACUAUUUUUCUUGCUUUUAUUUAGUUAAGGCCCAAUUUAGUUUUUGUUGGAUAAAACCCUAUUAAAGACUUAGACUAGGGUGCUAUAAAACUUAUGCAGUGGAAAACAUGUAUUCCUAUCUACUUAAAAUUUCUCAGGACUGGUUCAAUAGUAUAAAUAUUUUUCCACUAUUAAUUGGAAAUGAGCAGAUUAUUACAUUAAUUCAAAAGUCCUAUAAUCAACUGAAACAAGGUGGUUUCCUAUUUUAAUUUGAUGUUAGAUAUAUACAUAGCAUUAUAAAAUUGGUUUGGUUAUUUUUAGACUCAUAAAUCUUGAGUUAUGACUUUUUUGAAGUUCUUUGCCUAAAAAUAUAAAUAAAACAAAAAGAUUUAAUGGAAAAAGACGUUGCGUCGGGGCCCUUGGGCUUAUCCUGAACAGAAUCCUUCAAAACAAGUCCUCGACGUUCAAUUCAUUCGAGUCUUGGGCUUUUCAAAACAAACCUCUUUCUUUCCCCUAUUUAAACCCGCACUCCCUCGCUACCUGAACAAUGCUAAGAGGAGGAAAUAUGGUGGCACGACCUAACGACGGCGAUAUCGGUCCAAGGAAGUAGCCGGGGAAGUGCUGGGGAUCAAGGCGAACAUACUGGUACCUUUGGAUCAGCCAGUGAUGGCCAGAGACGGGCUAGCGGCGAGGAACUGCUUGUGGAGCUCGCCAUCGACGGCGAUCUUGCUCACUGGUGCGGUAGCACGUCGAGGGAGAGGCCCGAGAGCUUCACUAGGACUUCAUGAAGCUCACCAUCUCCUCGAAUUUGGUGGUGAGUGGCCGGAGACGCGUGUCCACGGUCACCAAUGGAGAGAGGGGCACAACAGUGGUCGAUUUGGCUUGUCGACAGUGGUAGCACUAGAACUGACUGACCGAGGAGCUUCACUGUGCCACAGAGAAGCUCAAGGCAUGCUUGGUUAGGGCUGGGGUGGCUCGGCGGGCUCGGGCCACAGCGGCCGUGCUCCGAGAAGAAAGGUAAGAGGCGGAGCUCGGUGUUCAGGCGAGAGUCCGGCGAGGCUUGUUUGGGGUGUGCUCAG
Molecule: long non-coding RNA, 2999 nt
Filed under: Zea mays
Lineage: Eukaryota; Viridiplantae; Streptophyta; Magnoliopsida; Poales; Poaceae
Description: long non-coding RNA (ZMAY_LNC004819)
Source: RNAcentral